RNAcentral lists this ribosomal RNA (253 nucleotides) under uncultured bacterium. RNAcentral describes it as "partial 16S ribosomal RNA". It matches the Rfam family "Bacterial small subunit ribosomal RNA", at positions 524 to 776 of the family's 1533-position model. The record is from RNAcentral.
UACGUAGGGGGCAAGCGUUGUCCGGAUUUAUUGGGCGUAAAGAGCGUGUAGGCGGUUUGGUAGGUCCGCUGUGAAAACUCGAGGCUCAACUUCGAGACGCCGGUGGAAACCAUCAGACUAGAGUCCGGAAGAGGAGAGUGGAAUUCCUGGUGUAGCGGUGAAAUGCGCAGAUAUCAGGAAGAACACCCGUGGCUAAGGCGGCUCUCUAGUACGGUACUGACGCUGAGACGCGAAAGCGUGGGGAGCGAUCCGG